UGGAGUAAAAGAUAACACCCUCCUCCUCAGCAUAAAUUCCCAACUUCUCUGUAAUAUUUUGCAGCUUCACUUCAGCAUCAAAACUACAAAGACAAUCUAUAGCAGUAUUCUUAUUACUUCUAUGGGGAAUGUAGGAGAAGAAGGAAAAGUGUCAUUAAAAUUCGGGAAAUGCAUAGUGAUAAGGAGAAAGGAAGGUGAGAAUGGUGCUACGAGCAAAAAUAAUAUUUAAAACUAAAAUUACUUAAUUAAGGAGAAAGAAGCAAAAGAAAAUUGAGAAAUUGCUUGAUCAGAACACAAUAUAUAGCUUCUUCUACCCCAAUGACACUUCUCUUCAUAAUACUUAGCUUCUUCCAAUUCCUAGCAAAUGGCACGAAGAGAAGUUAUCAUAUAAACACAAUAAUAUCGUCAAACAGACGCUGACAAGAAAAAAAAACCUGCAUUAUUGAAAUUUUUUGUAGGUGUAGAAGGAAUGCCAUUAGCACAAUAUAAAGCAAUUCUCUCAUCAAUUCAGCAAUAUAAUUCUGCCCAGUCUUUGAUUACUAAAGUUGGCGUGGCUUUUAGUAACUAAAUAACCAAGAUUAAGAUGUAUCGUGAAAGAAUUUUUUUAGUGUUAUCUAAUAGGUGCCCUAUUUCAAUCUUUAUGUCAAAAACUAUUUUCAUGUACUACAAAUUAUCUCUCCUUUACAACAAAAGGAAUCAUUAAUUACAUAGACAAAAGAUAAUAAACUUUGAAUAGAAGCUUCAUUCAUCUGACAAGUUAUACGAUUUCCUAGCAUUUUUUUGAGUCAAAUAAAGAAAAAGAACUAAUACAUUAUAUUUCCAAGCCUCAAUUUGACAGGUCUUAGCUGUUUCUUGAAUUCAAGUAAAAGCUAGUGAAAACUAUUUCAAGCUUUAUAUUCAUAUUAUUCUUUAUUUUAACAUGUGACCUUUUACCUAUAACAAUUUCAUCGAAAUUGUCUCCAUCCAUGUAAUUCAUUAAAUUUUACAAAGGUAAACUGAAAUCUCUAGAGUUCUUGUUCAAUUCUUGAAACAAUAAAAAAAUUUAAGAAAAAAUGAUUUGUUUAUGUGGAUAUAUCUUUGACAGAUUUUAUAACAUAAUUUUUCCUUUGUGCAUUAAUUAUAAGUAUAUAAGUAUAUUUAUUUCUAUUAUAAGAGACUCAAAUUUAAUACUUUGCAAUUUUGUUCUUACUUAAAGAAUGUAAAAAAAAAUUAUAUACAAAGAGAUAUGAAGCCAUAAUUGCACCAACCAAAGGUCACUCUUUUAUUGAACUCAGAUAAAAUCGCAAAACCUGGAAAGAGAAUAUCCCCAAAGCCAAUCAAGCCAUAGCCAUAAUAAGGAUUAGAAGAUUAGAUAGUUGAGAACUCUUAGAAGCUACAAAAAAUUUAAAAAAAGAACUGAGUCAUAUUUCAUCCCAUACAGUUUAAAGAAAAACAUAUAUAGUAAAACUAUUUAAGAAAUAAAAGUUUAUCGCAAAGAACAAACAGAAGGGAACAUAAACAAAAUCCCAGAAUAUUGGAUACCAAUACAAGGAAUACCAACCAAAAAAUCUCAAAAAUAAGGAAGAGAUAAUCAAAUCACAAAAUCAGAGAGAGGCGAUUUACCUCUGGCAGUAAUAGAAAUAAGAGAAACAGAAACUGAAGGGAAAAAUUAAAAUACUGAAGAGCAAAGGAAGAAUUUUACCUUGGGCGAGGGGAGGAAGAAGAGGAGAAGAAGAAGACCCUGUAAGGGAAGAGAAGAUUUGCGAUAAGGAUUAAGAGAAGAGCCAUUUAAGAGCAGUAAAAGAAGCAAUCGUUUCUUUUAUAGGGAAAAUAAGCGACUGUUAAGUUUUCUUUAUUGAAAAACUUUUUUUCAUCAGUUUUAAAAGGAAAAAUGUCAAAAAAGAAUUACAAUAAAGAUUAAUGUCA
This 1905-nucleotide long non-coding RNA is filed under the name Nicotiana tabacum (common tobacco). RNAcentral describes it as "long non-coding RNA (NTAB_LNC009021)". Lineage: Eukaryota; Viridiplantae; Streptophyta; Magnoliopsida; Solanales; Solanaceae. The record is from RNAcentral.